RNAcentral lists this ribosomal RNA (253 nucleotides) under uncultured bacterium. RNAcentral's name for it is "partial 16S ribosomal RNA". It matches the Rfam family "Bacterial small subunit ribosomal RNA", at positions 524 to 776 of the family's 1533-position model. The record is from RNAcentral.
UACGUAGGGUGCAAGCGUUAAUCGGAAUUACUGGGCGUAAAGCGUGCGCAGGCGGUUAUGCAAGACAGAGGUGAAAUCCCCGGGCUCAACCUGGGAACUGCCUUUGUGACUGCAUAGCUAGAGUACGGUAGAGGGGGAUGGAAUUCCGCGUGUAGCAGUGAAAUGCGUAGAUAUGCGGAGGAACACCGAUGGCGAAGGCAAUCCCCUGGGCCUGUACUGACGCUCAUGCACGAAAGCGUGGGGAGCAAACAGG